UCUCAUGAGGACUAGCUACGUGGUGUCUAUGGGUGAGAUGGACAGACACAUGGACCUGUGUGGUUGGUUGGAUGAACACUAUUUUUGCCCCCUUCUUAAAAGUUCAAGAUGGAGUCCCCGGAGGAAGGAAGAACCAGCAGCCCCCUCAGAUUCACUCAGCACCGGAGGAAAGGGAACCAGGGGAUGGUGGCUCAGGAAGGUUCCAAGAAGCCCAGGGCAGAGUCAUGUCUCCAGUCUUCUAGACCCCUGCCUGGGCUGUGUCCUCCUCAGUGUCCAGUGUCCUGUUUCUGACCACUGCUGACUCCAGGAUCGAUGGAAGCACUGUGACGGCCACCUCCUAUCACUCUGUCAUUCUUGAGGUUUCACUCCAGAGACACAAAACAAGAGGGCACAGAGAACAGCCUUUAGAGUUAGUAUUUCUCAGGCUGGACCAGUGUGGUGGUGCUCUGGCUGAAUCGGAUGAUGCUAGGGUUCCAGGUGAAGAAGAUGAAAGGCCAGAUGACAGAGAGCAUGGAACAGCCAUUAAAAUGUGUCAGAAAGAGCUUGGGCUUUGAUGAAGAUGUGGAAGAUGAGGUAAGAGACAUCAUGAAGACAAAGGAAGGUUCCCUUACAUGAUCUGAAGUUAAGACACAUUGCAGCUCACCCAUUUACAGCUUUCACAGCUUCCAUUAGGGAAAUUUCAUGCAAAAGGUAUUCCAGAAAUGGCAGACAAAUGAGACAAUGGCUUGGCAAGAAUUUAAGGCACAAAAAUGUGUAUUUCACACAGUCCAAUGAAAUGGAUUGAACAUUGUUUUAGUCACGGCAGUGGUAUUUUUAAGUGUGUAGACAAGAUCAGCUUCCCCAUGCCCUCCUUCUCAUUCUUAAACAAGCAGAUGGUUUUUCUCAUGGUGAUUUAAGAGUAAAUGAAUCUCUCAGGUUACAAAGAAAAAGGUCAAGUUGAAUGGAAUCCCCAAACAAUUCUACUAAACUUCACUUUCAAA
Long non-coding RNA from Peromyscus leucopus (white-footed mouse), 980 nucleotides. RefSeq lists it as uncharacterized. The transcript is spliced from 2 exons. The record is from RefSeq and is a predicted model, not a curated record. NCBI's taxonomy places the organism in Eukaryota, Metazoa, Chordata, Mammalia, Rodentia, Cricetidae.